AUUAACUAGAUACUGACCCGCGCUGUGCGCGGAUAUUGUUUUUGUAAAUUUUUAUUAGAAUUAUUCAUAUUAAUCAUGGGCAUUUGGUUUUUGGUUUCAGUUACCUGGUUCUAUUUUAGAGCUUUAAGAUCCAUUCGGAUUUUUAGAAAAUUUGAUUUUGUUCUGGUUCUUAUUUUUUGGUUUUCAGUUUGGGUAACAAAAUUCAGAAUCAGCUAAUAUCCGAGAUAAUUUUAGAUUCUAUUCGGUUCCGGUAAUAUUCUAUUUUUCUGUUAAUUUGAUUUAAAAAUCAUAAAAUUCGGGUAUUUUAUAUUAUUAAAUAUCAGGUUUUUGGUUUUCGGAUAAAAAAAAUUGGAUAAUUCAGUGACGUUUAUAUUUUGAUAAAAAUAUUCCGGUGAUUCAGAUUUUUGUGUAUUUUGUUUUUAAAUAAUAUUUUUAAAUUAUUUGAGAUUAGAUAAUUUCAUUUUGAGUUUUUAUUUAUAAUAUACUUCUUCCUUACAAUUUACGUUUUUUGGAGAACUCCUUAUAAUUUAAUUUUGUUUUGUUGUUAAGACUUGUCAUGAAUAUAUGCAAACAUUUGGUUGUUUGCCUUUUUUUUUAAUUUAAUCAAACGAAUAUAAACACCUUUGGACCAUAUGAUCAAAUUGAUAGGCGUAAUGGACCCAUUAAUUUGGAAGGAAUUAAACUUUUAGUCUAAUGAAAUUGGUCCAUUAGUUACAGAAAACCAAGAAAAACAAAAUAAAGCCCAAAGUUAUAUUUUUUUCCGGGAAGGUGAACAACUUUAACGUGUCGAAAAAAAAAAACUUAACAACUUUACUUUUUUGGUCUUCUCUGUCGGUAAUCACGUCCUCUUAAUCGUCUUCUCGAUAACAACAAACAAAAUCUGUUGAAACUAUCCCUGUUUGCUGAUGAGAAAUUCAAAAUCGUUCACUCUAUCAUCUUCACAAUCGAUCUACUGUCAUUAAGGUAGAAUUGUUUUUGUCUGUAUACUAUCAUAUUAAACGAUCAGGGUUAUAUCAAACCUCCAAAUUAGUUUGGUAUCUUGAUGUGAUAGAUCUUUAUACUCUAUUUGUAGAUCGAGCAUGACUAUGACCUUUCAAGGCAUGACUAUAGAAAAUAUGAGGCGAACGAAGAUGUUUUAUAGUGAUUUGGUUAUAAAAUUAGGUUUAAUGGUAUUGAUAAAAAUAUUGUGAAUUCAAAAAAAAAAAAAAGAGAUCUAUAGCAUAUUCCGAUUUUCAUAUUUUUUAGGAGCUGUUAAAGGUAGUUUAGAUAUUCAGUUUUUGUUUGCAAGUCACGUUAGAUUAAUGUAUUGUGAAGAUAUUCUGAAUAAAAAUGAAAUAUAUCUAUAGCAUAUUCUGGUUUUCAUAUUUUAUAGGAUUCGUUUGCAAGACACGUUAGUUUAAAUUUGCUAAAAUCUCCCUAUUGAUGUGGUUAGAGUAUUUUAGUUUACGAUUUAUAAUCUAAAAAUAUCUGAAUGAGACCAUUGAUAUGACUGGAAGUGUUUAAUUGAAAUUUUGGUUUUAAUAGAUCAAACUAAACAUAUGUAAUAUAAACAGUGACCAUAAUAACCGGGCCUCGUGGUCUGAUAGUAAAGGAACCUCGGCUGAGGUGCUCGCCAUCACGAGUUCGAGCUCCGGCCACAACGGAUUUAACAUGGUUUCCGUUUGGCCUCCAGGACCUUUCUCGCCAGUUCCGGUUGGACGCGGUGGAAUAGUCGGACUAAGUGAGAGGUCCGGAUACCUGGAUUAUCAAAAAAAAAAAAAAACAGUGACCAUAAUCAAAACUCUAUAUGAGAGUAGCUUGUCUGCAAUGUAUAUUGUUGUUUUAAAUCGUUUUUUUUUCACCUAUUAGAAUGUUCUGUACGUUGAAAGAUGAACCAAAUAACUCAUAAUCUGACAUUAAAGUUAUUAUAUCUAAUAAUAUAUCGUGUAAGUUUGGAUGGUUUUGUACGGUAGAGUUUGGUUUAAUUAAAUUCAACGGGUUAUGUUAUUUAUUUAACAUAUCAUUUAAUUUUGGAAGGGCUUAGUAUAUUAGAUGUUGGUCUAGUUAAAGUGAACCGGUUAUGUUAUUUAAACAGCGUGUAUAUAGUUAUUAUGAUAACAAACUUAUACGGGUCCAAUAUAUAAGGUAGCCUAGUAAGGAAACUGAAAGAGUCCAAAAUUUAAAAUGAACUUUUUUGGGUAGAUAAAAAAUAGGACUCUGUUUUAAUAAAUUAGAUGUCUUCCUUCCAAUUUUAUAGGAAAGUAGUUAUUAUAGUCAAGAAUAUAUGAGGUGAUUUAGUAAUGAUGCCAAAAUGUUAUAAGAAAUAAAUGAAAUAUAACUUUCUAGAAAUGGUCUAUUUUUUAAAAUAUCAUACAUAAAUCAAUGUUGUGAUUUCUGUUUUAAUAUAUAAGAUUAGAGAAAAACUGUUUAAUCCCACAAAGUCUCAAUAGUCCUAACGUUAAUAAGACCCUAAUUUUGUUAUAAAUACACAAUUAACACAAGAUAAACCACACAAAAGGUAAAUUAUAACAUGCAAACACAAUUACUUUUUUCCCAAAAUUAUAAAAUAUCAUAAAUUCAAAAAGAAAUUUCACUUAUAAUGAUCGAUGUUAACCUCCAUCCAAAAAUGAUUGGGUAAAAAAGUGAUGGUAACAGAUUUAUUUGGACCACUAAAUACGUUAAUAUAACCUCCUUCUAACAAAUAUGUAAAAGCCGUUAAAAAAAACAAAUACGUAAAUGUAAUUAGUACCUUGUUAAUUGGAAUACAUUUUCGGUACUGAUAAAUUUAUCGCUAUUUUUAGGCAACAUUUUCCAUUUUAUCACCAGCUCCUAAUAUUUCUAACUAUAUAUAUGUUUCUGUAAAAAUGUUAUAUAACAUUAGUUGAAUCUUUUUGAGAAUUUGGUUAUGAAUUCGAGAAUUUAGAACCUAACACUAAUUUUGUGAGAGAAAAUCAAUGGGUUUAUUCGUUCUUGUGGAUCUCUACUUCACCAAACUUUCAUAUGGAUUGUACCACUUUAGUGUCUAACGUAUUAGCAGAAGGUGCCAGUGAUGGCUCCAAGAAUAGUCUAACCUUAGUCCUUUUUUUUGUCUAAAGCCUAUUAUUAAUAACGUAAAGGAACAGUUAAUUAAUAAUUAGUUCACACGAGAUUUACGUAAGAUUAACGUCUCAUAAAUUCAUAAUACCAUGAUCGAACCUAUGACUAAAAACACAGCAACCACUUAAAUUUGAGUAUUUUCCGAUUUAUCCAUCUCAUUUGACUCUUCAGUCUAUGGAUAUAUUGACCCUACCUACUGAAAGCUGUUUGUGUAGAGAACUCAUAAUCGUAGAGUAGACUUUUCAAACAUAAAUGUAUAGAAGUAUAUAUGUUAAGGGCGUUGCAUGGAUUGACUAACUUGAACCCCGGACUCGCACUAUAAAUAGGCGCUAAAUGAUACGAUUCAAACAUAUAAAAAAAACUCAAAAGUAUUAUUUCACGAAAAUGUAUGGGGUUAGGAUGUUAGCAUCAUCACCAAUCUUGCUGUUUCUUCUCAGCCUUCUAAUGGCUUCCUACUUCGACACCACGUGCUUACUAAUCUUUUAAGCUUAUGUAGCAUCCAUUAAUCAUCUUCUAUAUAUUGAUUAUAGUUUAUUGCAUGACAAUUUUAUUACUAG
Molecule: long non-coding RNA, 3632 nt
Filed under: Brassica rapa (field mustard)
Lineage: Eukaryota; Viridiplantae; Streptophyta; Magnoliopsida; Brassicales; Brassicaceae
Description: long non-coding RNA (BRAP_LNC005545)
Source: RNAcentral